This 72-nucleotide transfer RNA is filed under the name Arachidicoccus ginsenosidimutans. RNAcentral's name for it is "Arachidicoccus sp. BS20 tRNA". It matches the Rfam family "tRNA". Rfam says of the family: Transfer RNA (tRNA) molecules are approximately 80 nucleotides in length. Lineage: Bacteria; Pseudomonadati; Bacteroidota; Chitinophagia; Chitinophagales; Chitinophagaceae. The record is from Rfam by way of RNAcentral.
UGUUGGGUGGUGCAAUGGCAAGCAUAUCAGUUUUUGACACUGACGAUAUUGGUUCGAGUCCAAUCUCAACAA